RNAcentral lists this transfer RNA (101 nucleotides) under Ustilago bromivora. It matches the Rfam family "tRNA". Rfam says of the family: Transfer RNA (tRNA) molecules are approximately 80 nucleotides in length. Their secondary structure includes four short double-helical elements and three loops (D, anti-codon, and T loops). Further hydrogen bonds mediate the characteristic L-shaped molecular structure. tRNAs have two regions of fundamental functional importance: the anti-codon, which is responsible for specific mRNA codon recognition, and the 3' end, to which the tRNAs corresponding amino acid is attached (by aminoacyl-tRNA synthetases). tRNAs cope with the degeneracy of the genetic code in two manners: having more than one tRNA (with a specific anti-codon) for a particular amino acid; and 'wobble' base-pairing, i.e. permitting non-standard base-pairing at the 3rd anti-codon position. Lineage: Eukaryota; Fungi; Basidiomycota; Ustilaginomycetes; Ustilaginales; Ustilaginaceae. The record is from Rfam by way of RNAcentral.
GGGUCUUUAGCUCAGCAGUAGAGCGGCAGACUUCGGUUCUAUCAUUCGAAGAUACCUUGAAGGUAUUCUGCAGGUCGCGGGUUCAAUCCCCGUAGGACUCU